This 459-nucleotide ribosomal RNA is filed under the name uncultured bacterium. RNAcentral describes it as "partial 16S ribosomal RNA". It matches the Rfam family "Bacterial small subunit ribosomal RNA", at positions 338 to 795 of the family's 1533-position model. The record is from RNAcentral.
CCUACGGGCGGCAGCAGUGAGGAAUAUUGGUCAAUGGGCGGAAGCCUGAACCAGCCAAGUAGCGUGCGGGAUGAAGGCCCUACGGGUCGUAAACCGCUUUUGCACGGGGAUAACACCCUCCACUUGUGGAGGUUUGCAGGUACCGUGCGAAUAAGGGCCGGCUAAUUCCGUGCCAGCAGCCGCGGUAAUACGGAAGUCCCGAGCGUUAUCCGGAUUCAUUGGGCUUAAAGGGAGCGUAGGCGGGCGUUCAAGUCAGCUGUACAAUCGCGCGGCUCAACCGUGAACCGCAGUUGAAACUGGAAGCCUUGAGUUCACAACAGGCAGGCGGAAUUCGUGGUGUAGCGGUGAAAUGCAUAGAUAUCACGAGGAACCCCGAUUGCGAAGGCAGCCUGCCGGGGUGCGACUGACGCUGAGGCUCGAAGGUGCGGGUAUCAAACAGGAUUAGAUACCCUUGUAGUC